RNAcentral lists this non-coding RNA (46 nucleotides) under Trypanosoma brucei brucei. The record is from RNAcentral. Lineage: Eukaryota; Euglenozoa; Kinetoplastea; Trypanosomatida; Trypanosomatidae.
AUAUAUAAACGAAGCAAACUCACAGUAUAAGUUAAUGGUGUAAAAU